CAGAUUUUUUCUUCUAUUUAUUCUCUCUGCCUGCCAGCCCCACCUAUCCUUUUUCCUGCCUUGCUGUUGGCCACUCAGCUCUUUAUUAUCCCAAAUCAGGUGUUAUAGGCAGGCAGUGACACAGCUUAACAACUAAACAAAUGCAACGUGAAAGAAUGUGACACAUAUUUGCAUCGUUAAACAAACAUUCCAUAGUAUAAGUAAAUGUAACACAUCUUUAACUGAUGUUCUACAACAGAGACCCUCAAGUUUGUGAUCCGUGGUCCCCAGGAAUAUGGCACAGUUCUUUUCUCUGUACCUCCUCCCUCCCGUGAGGCAGAGGAUAUGACUCUGAGCCUCAUGGAACUCACCCAUCAUCCUAAAUCUGAGAAAGCUGACGAUGGGAAACAUCAGCAGAAAAGCAGAAGCAGAAUGGAGUAGCAUGUCUGUUGUUCCUCGACCCCUGCUUCAGUGAAGGUGUCAUUCAAGAUCUGCAUGACGUAACUAUGGCUCUCAGCUACCGUUCCCUUCUGCAACCUUUACACUCAGAGUUCCGUACCUGCCUCCUGCUCUUGCUGGUCUCUAAGCAUCUCGUCAUCCUUACUCCUACCCUCGUGCCUUCUUCCAUGUGAAGAUGCCGCAAGAGAGAACAUCCUGGGAACCCAGGAGACCUCACCAAACAUCCAAUGCUCUGUCGCUUGAUCUUGCACUUCUUACCUUCCAAACCUGUGAGAAAAUAAAUCUCUUCAUAAAUCA
Molecule: long non-coding RNA, 735 nt
Organism: Mesocricetus auratus (golden hamster)
Lineage: Eukaryota; Metazoa; Chordata; Mammalia; Rodentia; Cricetidae
Exons: 2
Source: RefSeq, a predicted model, not a curated record